Molecule: ribosomal RNA, 253 nt
Filed under: uncultured bacterium
Lineage: Bacteria
Description: partial 16S ribosomal RNA
Rfam family: Bacterial small subunit ribosomal RNA
Source: RNAcentral
UAUAGAGGUCUCAAGCGUUGUUCGGAUUCAUUGGGCGUAAAGGGUGCGUAGGCGGCGCGGUAAGUCGGAUGUGAAAUCUCGGAGCUUAACUCCGAAACUGCAUUCGAUACUGCCGUGCUUGAGGACUGGAGAGGAGACUGGAAUUCCUGGUGUAGCGGUGAAAUGCGCAGAUAUCAGGAGGAACACCGGUGGCGAAGGCGGGUCUCUGGGCCGAUACUGACGCUGAGGAGCGAAAGCGUGGGGAGCGAACAGG